RNAcentral lists this ribosomal RNA (253 nucleotides) under uncultured bacterium. RNAcentral's name for it is "partial 16S ribosomal RNA". It matches the Rfam family "Bacterial small subunit ribosomal RNA", at positions 524 to 776 of the family's 1533-position model. The record is from RNAcentral.
UACGGGGGGGGCAAGCGUUGUUCGGAAUUACUGGGCGUAAAGGGCUCGUAGGCGGCCAACUAAGUCAGACGUGAAAUCCCUCGGCUUAACCGGGGAACUGCAUCUGAUACUGGAUGGCUUGAGAUUGGGAGAGGGAUGCGGAAUUCCAGGUGUAGCGGUGAAAUGCGUAGAUAUCUGGAGGAACACCGGUGGCGAAGGCGGCAUCCUGGACCGGCAUUGACGCUGAGGCGCGAAAGCUAGGGGAGCAAACGGG